This 274-nucleotide ribosomal RNA is filed under the name uncultured Lysobacterales bacterium. RNAcentral's name for it is "uncultured Xanthomonadales bacterium partial 16S ribosomal RNA". It matches the Rfam family "Bacterial small subunit ribosomal RNA", at positions 504 to 777 of the family's 1533-position model. Lineage: Bacteria; Pseudomonadati; Pseudomonadota; Gammaproteobacteria; Lysobacterales. The record is from RNAcentral.
UGUGCCAGCAGCCGCGGUAAUACAGAGGGUGCAAGCGUUAAUCGGAUUUACUGGGCGUAAAGCGUGCGUAGGCGGCUAUUUAAGUCGGAUGUGAAAGCCCUGGGCUCAACCUGGGAACUGCAUUCGAUACUGGGUAGCUAGAGAUCGGUAGAGGGCGGCGGAAUUCCGGGUGUAGCGGUGAAAUGCGUAGAUAUCCGGAGGAACACCGAUGGCGAAGGCAACCGCCUGGGCCUGAUCUGACGCUGAGGCACGAAAGCGUGGGGAGCAAACAGGA